RNAcentral lists this ribosomal RNA (440 nucleotides) under uncultured bacterium. RNAcentral's name for it is "partial 16S ribosomal RNA". It matches the Rfam family "Bacterial small subunit ribosomal RNA", at positions 338 to 795 of the family's 1533-position model. The record is from RNAcentral.
CCUACGGGUGGCAGCCGUGGGGAAUAUUGCACAAUGGGGGAAACCCUGAUGCAGCGACGCCGCGUGAGCGAAGAAGUAUUUCGGUAUGUAAAGCUCUAUCAGCAGGGAAGAAAAUGACGGUACCUGAGUAAGAAGCUCCGGCUAAAUACGUGCCAGCAGCCGCGGUAAUACGUCUGGAGCAAGCGUUAUCCGGAUUUACUGGGUGUAAAGGGAGCGCAGGCGGCCUUGCAAGUCUGAUGUGAAAUACUGGGGUUCAACCCCGGAGCUGCAUUGGAAACUGUGAGGCUGGAGUGUCGGAGAGGCAGGCGGAAUUCGUAGUGUAGCGGUGAAAUGCGUAGAUAUUAGGAGGAACACCAGUUGCGAAGGCGGCCUGCUGGACGAUGACUGACGCUGAGGCUCGAAAGCGUGGGGAGCAAACAGGAUUAGAUACCCCGGUAGUC